This is a non-coding RNA of Podarcis lilfordi (Lilford's wall lizard), 80 nucleotides long. Lineage: Eukaryota; Metazoa; Chordata; Lepidosauria; Squamata; Lacertidae. The record is from the annotation of a GenBank genome assembly.
UCCCUGACAUAGAUCUUUAGUCAGUAGAGCAUGAGACUGUUCAUCUCAAGGUCGUGGGUUCAAGUCCUGCGUUGGCUGAA